This 301-nucleotide ribosomal RNA is filed under the name uncultured bacterium. RNAcentral describes it as "partial 16S ribosomal RNA". It matches the Rfam family "Bacterial small subunit ribosomal RNA", at positions 509 to 807 of the family's 1533-position model. The record is from RNAcentral.
CAGUCGCCACGGGAAUACGAAGGGUGCAAGCGUUACUCGGAAUUACUGGGCGUAAAGCGUGCGUAGGUGGUGGUUUAAGUCCGUUGUGAAAGCCCUGGGCUCAACCUGGGAAUUGCAGUGGAUACUGGAUAACUAGAGUGUGGUAGAGGAUAGUGGGAUUUCCGGUAUAGCAGUGAAAUGCGUAGAGAUCGGAAGGAACAUCUGUGGCGAAGGCGACUAUCUGGGCCAACACUGACACUGAGGCACGAAAGCGUGGGGAGCAAACAGGAUUAGAUACCCCGGUAGUCCCUGUCUCUUAUAC